CUAAUUAAAAUCCUUCAAUGGCUCACCGUUGCUCCAGAGAUGCAGUCCAAGCCACUGAGCAUGACUAACAUGGCCCCUACCCCGAACCCUACAACAUACACUCUCCUUACCUGCCUGCUGGGUCUAAUCUCCGCCUCUUUCUCCUCCAGCAAAACCGAAUCACCUGAAAAUGCUGAGCCCUCCUCCUUUUCCCCGGGCAAGCACACUCUGGCUAAUUCAACUUAAAUGUCACUCCCCCAACAGAGCUUUCCCUGAGCCCCUGUGCCUUGUCUUCAUGGGCCUUGUUAAUCUUGAAUCAUUAUCACCAGGGCUAUCCUCCAACCAGGAUCACUGAUAUGGCUAUUCUAGUGGCUAAAAUACAGUAUUGAAAAUUUUUCACAUCAGUUGGUAAUCAGCUGUUUCCCUGAGUCCCUCAAGUGGCCCCCAAACCCCAGCCCCUCCCACGCCCCCACGCCUCCCCACGACCCGACCCAGCAACUGAAAGGGUAAAGCUGGCACAGCAGGAGGACUGAGGACCUUAUGUUGACUGAAAGCUCUCUGAGGAUGGGGAGGCACCUCCCUCACCAGCAAAGCACUAGGCACAUGGAAGCUGUCUCUCCAACUGCCACAGUCUGGCUCCUGUCUGGUCAGCUUCACCUUCCCUUCCUGCAAGACUUGUACUCUCGCUGAGAACUGUUGGGCCCGGGACAACCAAGAUGCACCCCUUUCAUGAACCCACGAGUAGGUGAGCACAUGUGUGUAUGCUACACACACACACAUACAGUGCUCACUGACUCAGUCUCAAAAAGCACAAAAUCAUAGUUUUUAGAAGCAGAAGAAAACUAAAGGAUCUUUCCAGCCAAGCCAACUGAGUCAUUUUACAGACAAGAAACCAAGACUUGGGGAAGGAAAGAUUUUGCUUCAAGUCACAAGGUCAAUUCCCUACACUGCUCUAGCUGCCUCCUGGAGUUUGGUAUUAGGUUGGCGAAAAAAGUUCAGGCUUUUCUAUAAUAUCUUACAGAAAAACCUGAAUGAACUUUUGGGUUAGGAUUAGGGUUGUUGUUCAAUUGCCAAGUCGUGAUGG
This is a long non-coding RNA of Bubalus bubalis (water buffalo), 1063 nucleotides long. RefSeq lists it as uncharacterized. The record is from RefSeq and is a predicted model, not a curated record. NCBI's taxonomy places the organism in Eukaryota, Metazoa, Chordata, Mammalia, Artiodactyla, Bovidae. The transcript is spliced from 3 exons.